RNAcentral lists this long non-coding RNA (1463 nucleotides) under Chinchilla lanigera (long-tailed chinchilla). RNAcentral's name for it is "lncRNA (ENSCLAG00000025218.1)". Lineage: Eukaryota; Metazoa; Chordata; Mammalia; Rodentia; Chinchillidae. The record is from RNAcentral.
CUUGGUUAUCCCUUAGGGUUUCUAGCAUGAUGAAUUUGCAAUCUCAUAGUCUCAAAUGAUAAAAACACAGAAGGAGCAAAGUGCUUUGUUACUCAAUUUCUCUUGGUAGCCAUAUUCCCUCCCUCAUGGAAACCACAGGUAAUUUGUCAGUAGUUUACAGAAGACUUCUGAGAUGCCAUCCUUCAAGACCGAGGUGGCUUCCAUCAUCAUUAGGAUUUCCUGACACAGUAAAAAAAAUUAGCAGUUGAGAAAAAUAGCUAUGGCUAAUGUGCAAAGAAGAGGAUAGGACUGUUCCAGUUUUUAAAAAUAAUGAUAUGAGCAUCAUUGUAUGAAUGUUACAUCCUGAAAAGCUUUUGAAUUGUCAUAAUAGUGUAAUAAUUGGAAGAGACUGGGUAUUUUUGGUACUUAUCAAGAUAUAUUUUACCAAAAGUUUUAUUUUUUUGACUGGGGAAAAUGUUUCUUUUUUUUUUUUUCUGUCUGUCUUUUAAGAUAUUGACUGUCUGCUUCGUUUCCUAUCCAGAAUCUCAAUCUGCUAUUUCGGAAACUCCAAAAAAAACUUCAGACGCUGUUCAACAGGAAGUUUUUGACAUGAAGUCUGGAGGACAGGCAACUGUAAUUCAGCAGCUGGAACAGACCAUUGAGGAUCUGAGGACCAAAAUAGCUGAACUAGAGAAGCAGUACCCUGCCCUGGACAUGGAGGUGGGCAGUAGCCAUCAAAGGGUUGAGAAUGGAGUGACAGCCUCAGACGAUGUCUGUCUGGAAGCUCUCAGAUUAGGAGAAAAGGAUGUACACCAUCGAAGGAUUGUACAGGCAAAAUCAAUACAGACUUCCCCAACAGAAGAGGGCGGGAUCCUGACACUUCCACCCGCGGGCCCUCCAUGCCCGCCUGGGGUUGAGACUGGAGAGUCUUCUGCUCCAUCUUCAGCUUCUGGAUCUCAGACAAAAUUCUGUUCUGAGAUUUCUUUGAUUGUGUCUUCAAGGAGAAUAUCAGUACAGCUUGAUGCCCAUCAGCCCGUGCUGGGUGUGUCACAGCCUCCACCCCCUCCAUCCCUUCUCUUGCCUGAUGGUCAGGGACAGCCUGGGUCACAGCCCUCCCACUCUUCUCUUCAUACUGACUCUGAAACCAGCCAUGAACGCUCUGUUUCCUCCUCCUCUGGAAACAGCUGUAGCGUCCCGCCCCCGCCACCUCUGCCUUGCUCAGAGCUCUCCCGCUCCAUGCCUGGCCUGGGCGUGGAGACUCUCCCACCUCCCCUUGGUGUGACAGUGCCUGCUCUGCCCAGUACAGCAGUCCCCCCACCGCCUCCUUUGCCAGGUUCUGAAAUGCUGCCACCCCCUCCUCCCCCUUUGCCUGGUGAGGGAGUACUUCCUCUUCCUCCCCCUCCCCUUCCUGGAGUAGGAAUACCCCCUCCCCCUCCCCUUCCAGGAGUGGGGAUACCCCCUCCCCCUCCCCUCCCUGGAGUAGG